GGGGAUGUAGCUCAGUGGUAGAGCAUUCGACUGCAGAUCGAGAGGUCCCCGGUUCAAACACAGGCGCCCCCU
This 72-nucleotide transfer RNA is filed under the name Portunus trituberculatus (swimming crab). Its description in RNAcentral is "tRNA-Cys". It matches the Rfam family "tRNA". Rfam says of the family: Transfer RNA (tRNA) molecules are approximately 80 nucleotides in length. Their secondary structure includes four short double-helical elements and three loops (D, anti-codon, and T loops). The record is from RNAcentral. Lineage: Eukaryota; Metazoa; Arthropoda; Malacostraca; Decapoda; Portunidae.